CGGCUGCUAAUACCGCAUAAGCGCACGAGGNUGCAUGGCCUUGUGUGAAAAACUCCGGUGGUAUGGGAUGGAUCCGCGUCUGAUUAGCUAGUUGGUGAGAUAAAAGCCCACCAAGGCGACGAUCAGUAGCCGACCUGAGAGGGUGGCCGGCCACAUUGGGACUGAGACACGGCCCAGACUCCUACGGGAGGCAGCAGUGGGGAAUAUUGCACAAUGGGGGAAACCCUGAUGCAGCGACGCCGCGUGAGUGAAGAAGUAAUUCGUUAUGUAAAGCUCUAUCAGCAGGGAAGAAACAGACGGUACCUGAGUAAGAAGCCCCGGCUAACUACGUGCCAGCAGCCGCGGUAAUACGUAGGGGGCAAGCGUUAUCCGGAUUUACUGGGUGUAAAGGGAGCGUAGACGGCGAAGAAAGUCUGAAGUGAAAGCCCGCGGCUUAACCGCGGAACUGCUUUGGAAACUUUUUUGCUGGAGUACCGGAGAGGUAAGCGGAAUUCCUAGUGUAGCGGUGAAAUGCGUAGAUAUUAGGAGGAACACCAGUGGCGAAGGCGGCUUACUGGACGGUAACUGACGUUGAGGCUCGAAAGCGUGGGGAGCAACAGGAUUAGAUACCCUGGUAGUCCACGCGGUAAACGAUGAAUGCUAGGUGU
RNAcentral lists this ribosomal RNA (647 nucleotides) under uncultured bacterium. RNAcentral's name for it is "bacterial SSU rRNA". It matches the Rfam family "Bacterial small subunit ribosomal RNA", at positions 157 to 823 of the family's 1533-position model. The record is from RNAcentral.